UUUCCGCUAUAACAGGCAAGGGCAGGACCAGUGUAGUGAAAGCAGUUGGAAGAAAUAGUGUUUGUCACGUGUUGUCGUCAGAAGAAAAUGUAGUUCUUUGUCCGGGUCAAACUGUGAUCUGCGUUGUCUAACGCGGACUUUGAAGUUGGACGUGGAGAAGAUGCACCUCCGGGCUUUGGAUGACGCAAUUCCUGCCCUCAUACUCGAUCGUCAGCUUGAGAGAAGUCGCCUUCAUAAUCAAUCAAAUACGUCCCCCCAAGCAUCUCUGCGUUGCUGACUCCUAGGAUGAACAUUCGUUCUGCUAGAGACUUGAACGCAUGGAAGAGUGAGUCUAAAGAUUACGCGCCCUGAUGAUGGAGGCGGCAAGGACCUCUGACACGUCGGUAAACAUCUACCAGACUACACGGCGCAAAGACCCAGAAGACAGAAAUCUUCUGACUCUCCGUCGUGGAAAUAAUUCGCGAAGACGUAGCCUGUGCAGUUCAGAUUCACUAGUCUGAAGACAGAGUCCAGUAGCGGUUUCUUCUGAGCACAAUAAUAAGCCCUCGAAUUCCAGAAGACCGGACCUUUUAGCGACUUCCAGCUGUACGGCGUUAGUAAGAGAGAGAUUAACGAAUCCACAGCAAUUAAACAUUUUGGUUGCAUGAUUGGCAACACUACAUAGAACUUACCAUGUUGUAACUUAAGGACAGACAUUUAUAUUUUGCGAGCAAAGUUUAGUUGUCCGUCUCAGCUGAGUUAAAAUGGCGUAAAGGUGACUAUUCCACUACAAGUCUGCAUCAAGGACAAGCAACAUACGCCGUGCGGGUAUUUUUUCUCCCUUGAACGAAUCAAAAGGGCAGAGGUCCAUCGGCAAUUGGCUGCCAAGUAUGAACAUAAUAUUUGUGUUCUAGUGGAAUGAAAUGUUCAAAAGCAGUGUAGACAGGUAAGGACGUCCAUCAACAUCCACAGACAAGCAAAGUGUGGAUCGUUUUCAAGCAAUGAUUCUCCGAAGCUGCAAGGAAAAAUAAUGGGCAAAGCUUUCGGCGCGUGACCGAUAACAACGCGGUUCGUAACGUUCGCAACUCCUCUCUGAAAAUAUUUGUCUCAGGUUCGAUUUCUGGACACCAGUUCGAUUCAUGCAGUCGAAUUCAUAGUGAAAUGCGGUUUUGAUUACUAGUAGAAUUAUUAUAAAUCUCCUAGAAUUGUGUCAUUACACGCACGCCAAGUUUCUGUUGAUACCAAUAAUUUACAAAAAUGGGCAUUAUGUUGCUCGUCCUUGGUGUAGGCCUCCAGUUGAACAGUCAAAUAUACGCCACACUCACUCGGCACAAAUGUAUUACAGCUUAACCACACUCGCAGAUUGUCACUGUAUGACCUUGAGAUACAGUAUGACUAGGUACCAGCAGUGUUGCCAUUCAUACAACGAAAAUAGUCCAACAUUCCAGAUAUUUUUUUUUAUUCUCCUUCGUAUUUAGCUGACAUAAUCUCACAUCUCAUCAAUGGCUUUGAAGGCAGCGUUUUACUGUUGAUAACGAGCCAGAAGAUUAUGACUGGUCACGUAUGUUCUGUAGUAGUCAAUGAGACAAAUAUGUACAGAGUUUUCUGGGAGAAAAAGACAGAUAUAAUGUUGUGUAACCUUCAUUACCCUAGUGAUAACUUUUACUUGUCUUGAAGCUUUCAGACUCUACAAAAAGUCAAAGUGAUUUACGUUCAUUUCAUAAUUAAUUUGUUAAUUACGUUCGUAAAGAAUAUGAUUUGUAGAUAACAGACAUUGGCAUGCAGCCAUAUUAACAGAAAUUCUAGCUCAUUAUUUAUUCAGUCACAUGGAAAGAGGCCCUCUGGGGCUUCAAACGUCAUAUGAAAGAGGUAUGUAGAACGGGCUUCAGGGGGCUCACGUCCUGUCUUGAGGCAAAUAAAAUUUGGCUAUACAUAGGACUGUUUUGAUUUGUGCGCAUAUCUCAGUCGGAACUCUAGAGAUAGAAUCCUAAAAUAAAAUUAAAAUAGAAACAUUUGUAGGAAGGUGAUUUAAAGGUUGCCCACAGUCUUUUAUUUCUUUGAAAGGUUCGCAAUUUAACUUCGCUAAUCUGACGUCUCUCAGAAUCAGAUAAUAAUUUCAAGGCCACUGUUUUUAUACUUUUACUGACAUCGCAGUUUAGCAAGUGGAAAAUCCUUCAAAGCAUCGAACUAUGUGGUAAGCAUUUUCUCGCCUCCCAAAGAAUUUGUUUCAGUGGACGAUGAAAGACUUUUGGAGGAGGCUGAAGAUUUACUGAAAGUGGUUCCUGAUGACCUUUUUCAACUUUAGCAGAAGAGUUGUUGCCUUUAUAGUCUCGCAUGAAAAGUGAUAUUCUGUAGGAAAUCUCGCUCCGAUAAUCAUGUAAUUUUGUGUGGAUUUCCUGAUAUUUUGAGAGCUUUAUAUCUCUUUGUCUCCUACCCCAACUGCAGCAUUGUAUUAAAUGUAAUUUUCAAAGUUUAAAUUCAUUAUAAACUCAUGACUGCCAUAUUACUUCAAUUGCUGUCGUCUCUGGCCUUAGCUUUUAUCGAAAGGGAAAGAACAAUGGAAAUCUCAGCUGAAAUAAACACUCUUAAGCUACUUACAUCUACGACAAACUGAUCUUUGCUGCUUAUGUCUUAUUUCUAUUGCAUGUGUAUUAUUUUUUUAUAACUAAUGUCCACGCGUCUUUGCCAGUUGAACAGCUUUGAAAUGUCAAGAAAUUGCUACAUUGCUCAAUAAAUUACACGUGAAAGGUUUUUACAGUUUUAUUAAUUAAUUAGCGACGGUUUCUCGUUUCUAGUGUUUUUUUAACGUUGGCGUUUUGGUUGAGUUGAUGUCAUGACAUGACCCUAUGGGUUGUAAUCCUGUAGAUGGUACUAACCUAUAAGCGUGCAUUAUAAUAUGAAAUGUAUUUAGUUGGCUCGGGAAAACAUUCAGCGGUGACGUCUUUGUUAUUAUUGUGAUUAUUAAGUAUUACCUUUGAACUUCAGCCCAUUAUCUGCACUAAAAGGAGAAAUAAAUGUGAUAAUACAGUUAAGUUCAAUAGCAGUUUGAUAUUCUGUUAUCCGUUCUGGUUUCCACAGCUCUCACUACUCUGAUUCUUUCUUCUUGUAAUGUGUGUAUCUUGCCAGAUAAUUUCUUCAAGUAUCAACGUAAUUGCGUUGUUAAACCCACAGACCUGUUCUAACAUUAGACGACGACGACCUUUCAAGUGAAGAAGUUAUGAGACGUUCAGAAUUAAGAAGGGAUUGUUCAUCGCUGUUUAAAGGUACUACUGUUCUAGCAUUUGCUAAAACAGACAGAGAAAAUUCAAGCAAAUCUUAGUCGUGAUAGCUGUUAAAUGUGCGUGCGGAGAUUCAAAUAUGGCACCUCCAGAACAGAAUUCUCGAGUGAAAUAGUUCUUUAUUCUGCUCGAUUAACGUGAAACUGGAGAUAAAUUCAAUAAGUUCUUCAGCCGCAACACAGAGUAGAAGAAAACGCUUUCCACUUCGCGUACCAAACUAAAGAAACUUUUAAGAACCCGAGAAGGAACGUGAAAUGGUUUCAGCCUCACUCUGAUAUUGCCCCGUCCACAAAAUCUCGGGCACGCUUACACUGUUGAUCGUUAGGCGCAAGAUGCCUGUCUUAAAGCAUCUCCCGUCUUAAUGCCCACUUGGCCUUCCUUGAUAUUACAAACGAGACCCUGGAUAUGGUCAUUUCGUAUAUUUUGAAUUAAGUGUCAGUUAUAAGAAACAGGUGACUUAAUUUUAAGUACAGGGGAACUUCUUUUUUUAUUUACUCGAUAUGCGAGUAAACGUUGUAGUUUAGUCGACUAAGAUGUUAUCAGUCAUUAGCCGUUC
Non-coding RNA from Zootermopsis nevadensis, 3813 nucleotides. NCBI's taxonomy places the organism in Eukaryota, Metazoa, Arthropoda, Insecta, Blattodea, Termopsidae. The record is from RefSeq and is a predicted model, not a curated record.